This 477-nucleotide ribosomal RNA is filed under the name uncultured bacterium. RNAcentral's name for it is "partial 16S ribosomal RNA". It matches the Rfam family "Bacterial small subunit ribosomal RNA", at positions 30 to 507 of the family's 1533-position model. The record is from RNAcentral.
AUUGAACGCUGGCGGCAUGCCUUACACAUGCAAGUCGAACGGUAACAGGUUAAGCUGCCGAGUGGCGAACGGGUGAGUAAUGUAUCGGAACGUGCCCAGUCGUGGGGGAUAACUGCUCGAAAGAGCAGCUAAUACCGCAUACGACCUGGGGGUGAAAGCGGGGGAUCGCAAGACCUCGCGCGAUUGGAGCGGCCGAUAUCAGAUUAGGUAGUUGGUGAGGUAAAGGCUCACCAAGCCGACGAUCUGUAGCUGGUCUGAGAGGACGACCAGCCACACUGGGACUGAGACACGGCCCAGACUCCUACGGGAGGCAGCAGUGGGGAAUUUUGGACAAUGGGCGCAAGCCUGAUCCAGCCAUGCCGCGUGCGGGAAGAAGGCCUUCGGGUUGUAAACCGCUUUUGUCAGGGAAGAAAAGGUUCUGGCUAAUACCUGGGACUCAUGACGGUACCUGAAGAAUAAGCACCGGCUAACUACGUG